Molecule: ribosomal RNA, 253 nt
Filed under: uncultured bacterium
Lineage: Bacteria
Description: partial 16S ribosomal RNA
Rfam family: Bacterial small subunit ribosomal RNA
Source: RNAcentral
UACGGAGGUGGCGAGCGUUGUCCGGAUUUACUGGGUGUAAAGGGCGUGUAGCCGGGGAAACAAGUCGGAUGUGAAAACCCGGGGCUUAAGUCCGGAGCUGCAUCUGAAAUUGUUUUUCUUCAGUGCUGGAGAGGAAAGUGGUAUUCCCAGUGUAGCGGUGAAAUGCGUAGAGAUUUGGAGGAACACCAGUGGAGAAGGCGGCUUUCUGGACAGUAACUGACGCUGAGCCGCGAAAGCGUGGGGAGCAAACAGG